GAUGAAGAACGCAGCGAAAUGCGAUAAGUAAUGUGAAUUGCAGAAUUCAGUGAAUCAUCGAAUCUUUGAACGCACAUUGCGCCCGCCAGUAUUCUGGCGGGCAUGCCUGUUCGAGCGUCAUUACAACCCUCAGGCCCCCGGGCCUGGCGUUGGGGAUCGGCGGAAGCCCCCUGCGGGCACAACGCCGUCCCCCAAAUACAGUGGCGGUCCCGCCGCAGCUUCCAUUGCGUAGUAGCUAACACCUCGCAACUGGAGAGCGGCGCGGCCACGCUGUAAAACACCCAACUUCUGAAUGUUGACCUCGAAUCAGGUAGGAAUACCCGCUGAACUUAAGCAUAUCAAUAAGCGGAGGA
RNAcentral lists this unclassified non-coding RNA (353 nucleotides) under soil metagenome. RNAcentral describes it as "partial contains 5.8S ribosomal RNA, internal transcribed spacer 2, and large subunit ribosomal RNA". The stretch from base 1 to 120 matches the Rfam family "5.8S ribosomal RNA", at positions 35 to 154 of the family's 154-position model. The record is from RNAcentral.